This 253-nucleotide ribosomal RNA is filed under the name uncultured bacterium. RNAcentral's name for it is "partial 16S ribosomal RNA". It matches the Rfam family "Bacterial small subunit ribosomal RNA", at positions 524 to 776 of the family's 1533-position model. The record is from RNAcentral.
UACGAAGGGAGCUAGCGUUGUUCGGAAUAACUGGGCGUAAAGGGCGUGUAGGUGGAUGAAUGCGUUAGAUGUGAAAGCCCCGGGCUCAACCUGGGAAUGGCAUUUAAUACGGUUGAUCUAGAGUGCGAGAGGGGAAAGCGGAAUGGCGAGUGGAGCAGUGAAAUGCAUUGAGAUUCGCUAGAACACCGGAGGCGAAGGCGGCUUUCUGGCUCGUAACUGACACUAAGACGCGAAAGCGUGGGGAGCAAACAGG